RNAcentral lists this ribosomal RNA (253 nucleotides) under uncultured bacterium. Its description in RNAcentral is "partial 16S ribosomal RNA". It matches the Rfam family "Bacterial small subunit ribosomal RNA", at positions 524 to 776 of the family's 1533-position model. The record is from RNAcentral.
UACGAAGGGGGCUAGCGUUGUUCGGAAUUACUGGGCGUAAAGCGUGCGUAGGCGGUUUCUUAAGUCUGCUGUGAAAGCCCCGGGCUCAACCUGGGAAUGGCGGUGGAUACUGAGGAGCUGGAGUACGGUAGAGGAAGGUGGAAUUCCCAGUGUAGAGGUGAAAUUCGUAGAUAUUGGGAAGAACACCGAUGGCGAAGGCAGCCAUCUGGACCGACACUGACGCUGAGGCGCGAAAGCGUGGGGAGCAAACAGG